AGAGCGAACGCUGGCGGCAGGCCUAACACAUGCAAGUCGAGCGCCCGUAGCAAUACGGGAGCGGCAGACGGGAUAGUAACACGUGGGAACGCGCCCUUCGGUUCGGAAUAACUCAGGGAAACUUGAGCUAAUACCGAAUACGCCCUUACGGGGAAAGAUUUAUUGCCGAAGGAACGGCCCGCGUCCGAUUAGCUAGUUGGUGAGGUAAUGGCUCACCAAGGCUACGAUCGGUAGCUGGUCUGAGAGGAUGACCAGCAUCACUGGGACUGAGACACGGCCCAGACUCCUACGGGAGGCAGCAGUGGGGAAUAUUGGACAAUGGGCGCAAGCCUGAUCCAGCCAUGCCGCGUGGAUGAUGAAGGCCUUAGGGUUGUAAAGUCCUUUUAACGGGGAGAUAAUGACGGUACCCGUAGAAUAAGCCCCGGCUAACUUCGUGCCAGUAGCCGC
RNAcentral lists this ribosomal RNA (447 nucleotides) under uncultured bacterium. RNAcentral describes it as "SSU rRNA". It matches the Rfam family "Bacterial small subunit ribosomal RNA", at positions 26 to 518 of the family's 1533-position model. The record is from RNAcentral.